This 294-nucleotide ribosomal RNA is filed under the name uncultured bacterium. RNAcentral's name for it is "partial 16S ribosomal RNA". It matches the Rfam family "Bacterial small subunit ribosomal RNA", at positions 775 to 1067 of the family's 1533-position model. The record is from RNAcentral.
GGAUUAGAUACCCUGGUAGUCCACGCCCUAAACGAUCUCGACUAGCUGUUGGGUUCAUAAAAGAACUUAGUGGCGCAGCUAACGCGUUAAGUCGACCGCCUGGGGAGUACGGCCGCAAGGCUAAAACUCAAAGGAAUUGACGGGGGCCCGCACAAGCGGUGGAGCAUGUGGUUUAAUUCGAUGCAACGCGAAGAACCUUACCAGGUCUUGACAUCCUCGGAACUUAGCAGAGAUGCUUUGGUGCCUUCGGGAAUCGAGAGACAGGUGCUGCAUGGCUGUCGUCAGCUCGUGUUG